GGCUCAGGACGAACGCUGGCGGCGUGCUUAACACAUGCAAGUCGAACGGAAAGGCCCCUGCUUGCAGGGGUACUCGAGUGGCGAACGGGUGAGUAACACGUGGGUGAUCUGCCUUGUACUUCGGGAUAAGCCUGGGAAACUGGGUCUAAUACCGGAUAGGACCAUGCUUUAGUGUGUGUGGUGGAAAGUUUUUUCGGUACAAGAUGAGCCCGCGGCCUAUCAGCUUGUUGGUGGGGUAAUGGCCUACCAAGGCGACGACGGGUAGCCGGCCUGAGAGGGUGUACGGCCACAUUGGGACUGAGACACGGCCCAGACUCCUACGGGAGGCAGCAGUGGGGAAUAUUGCACAAUGGGCGCAAGCCUGAUGCAGCGACGCCGCGUGAGGGAUGACGGCCUUCGGGUUGUAAACCUCUUUCGCUAGGGAAGAAGCCACUUUGUGGUGACGGUACC
This 450-nucleotide ribosomal RNA is filed under the name Corynebacterium falsenii. RNAcentral describes it as "bacterial SSU rRNA". It matches the Rfam family "Bacterial small subunit ribosomal RNA", at positions 21 to 479 of the family's 1533-position model. The record is from RNAcentral. Lineage: Bacteria; Bacillati; Actinomycetota; Actinomycetes; Mycobacteriales; Corynebacteriaceae.